RNAcentral lists this ribosomal RNA (253 nucleotides) under uncultured prokaryote. RNAcentral's name for it is "partial 16S ribosomal RNA". It matches the Rfam family "Bacterial small subunit ribosomal RNA", at positions 524 to 776 of the family's 1533-position model. The record is from RNAcentral.
UACGAAGGGUGCAAGCGUUACUCGGAAUUACUGGGCGUAAAGCGUGCGCAGGUGGUGCGUUAAGUCCGAUGUGAAAGCCCUGGGCUCAACCUGGGAAUGGCAUUGGAUACUGGCGGGCUAGAGUGCGGUAGAGGAUAGUGGAAUUCCUGGUGUAGCAGUGAAAUGCGUAGAGAUCAGGAGGAACAUCCGUGGCGAAGGCGACUGUCUGGACCAGCACUGACACUGAGGCACGAAAGCGUGGGGAGCAAACAGG